RNAcentral lists this ribosomal RNA (462 nucleotides) under uncultured bacterium. Its description in RNAcentral is "partial 16S ribosomal RNA". It matches the Rfam family "Bacterial small subunit ribosomal RNA", at positions 29 to 507 of the family's 1533-position model. The record is from RNAcentral.
AUGAACGCUGACAGAAUGCUUAACACAUGCAAGUCGCUGGGGAAGUGGUGCUUGCACCAUGGCAACCAUGGCGGACGGGUGAGUAACGCGUAAGGGACUUACCUGCAGGACUGGGAUAACAGGGGGAAACUCCUGACAAGACCGGAUAAUGUCAUGGAGCUGCAUGGCUUUAUGAUGAAAGGAGACGCCUGCGGAGAGCCUUGCGUCCUAUUAGCUAGUUGGUGAGGUAAUGGCUCACCAAGGCGAAGAUAGGUAGCCGGCCUGAGAGGGUGGACGGCCACAAGGGGACUGAGAUACGGCCCUUACUCCUACGGGAGGAGGCAGUGGGGAAUAUUGAACAAUGGGGGCAACCCUGAUCCAGCAAUUCUGUGUGCACGAAGAAGGUUUUCGGAUUGUAAAGUGCUUUCAGCAGGGAAGAAGUAAGUGACGGUACCUGCAGAAGAAGCGACGGCUAAAUACGUG